UCCCGGGGGCCGACGUUGACGGAGGGGCGCCACGGUUUGAAGUUACGUGACUUUCUGUUCGAACGCCUCAUCCGCCCGGCUUCAGCGAAGCAGUCCCGCCGGCGAAGAGGGUCUUGGCAGCAGGAUUAAGUGAGGCGGCUUUGCCAGGCAAAGGCUGUGCUGUGGACAUGGGCAGAACUGUGCUGCACAGCUAGUCAGGAGCAACACCCCUGACCUCAGGGGUACACCUCGAGAGGAAGUCUUUACACCUUUCCUGGAGGCAUUAGAAGGGUGUCCAAGAAGCAGAAGAAUCCCAGGACCAUGGCUAAUAAAACCCAGGAGGUUGGUGGUAUCCAUUUCCCUUUUCCCUUCACACCCUAUUCCAUUCAGAAAGACUUCAUGGCAGAGCUAUAUCAGGUGUUGGAGGCUGGCAAGAUUGGAAUAUUUGAGAGUCCGACUGGCACUGGAAAAUCUUUAAGUCUUAUUUGUGGGGCCCUUUCCUGGCUCCGUGACUUUGAGCAGAAGAAACAUCAAGAAGAGGCACGUCUCCUUGAAACUGGAACUGUCCCCUUAAGUGACGGGCAGGAGCAGUCCCUGUCUCUCUCAUCCUCCUGCAAAGAGACCCCAGGCACCCUGAGGCCUGUGGGAGAGCCUGACUGGGUGACUCAGUUUGUGCAGAAGAAAGAAGAAAGGGACCUGGUAGACCGACUGAAGGAGGAGCAGGUCAGGAGGAAGAAGCGAGAGGAACGCCUGCAGCAGAUCCGUCACAAUGCACAGCUCAAGUAUGCAGCCAAGCGCAUGAGACAAGAGGAAGAAGAGAUGGAGCGUGUCCUCCGCCUCAGCAGGGAGGCGCUGGCGGCAGGGGCAGCGGCCGAGCUGCCAGAGCAGCCAGCAUGUGGGGAGGAGGACCUGGUCCUCGCCGAGUAUGAGAGCGACGAGGAGAAGGGAGCGGCUGGCAGAGUGGACCAGGAUGAGGAUGGCCCGGAGGAGGAACAUGUAACUAAGAUUUACUACUGCAGUCGGACGCACUCCCAGCUGGCUCAGUUUGUGCACGAGGUACAGCAGAGCCCCUUUGGCAAGGACACCCGGCUUGUCUCCCUCGGCUCUCGGCAGAAUCUUUGUAUAAACGAAGAUGUGAAAACCCUGGGUUCUGCGCAGCUCAUCAAUGACCGCUGCAUGGAGAUGCAGAGAAGCAAACACGAGAAGAGCAAAGCUGAGGAAGAGAAGCCCAAGAGGAGAAAGCAGGAGCGCCGGGCCACCUGCCCCUUCUAUGGCUACGAGCAGCUGCAGCUCCUCCGAGACCAGGUCCUGGUGGGGGUGAAGGACAUUGAGCAGUUGGUGGCGCUGGGGAAGGAGGCUCGGGCCUGUCCCUAUUACGGGAGCCGGUCUGCCAUUCCAGCAGCCCAGCUCGUGGUGCUACCCUACCAGAUGCUGCUGCACGCGGCCACCCGCCAGGCUGCGGGCAUCCGGCUGCAGGGCCAGGUGGUGCUCAUCGAUGAGGCCCACAACCUGAUCGACACCCUCACGGGCAUCCACAGUGCGGAGGUCAGCGGUUCCCAGCUCUGCCAGGCCCAUUCCCAGUUGCUCCAGUAUAUGGAACGAUAUGGGAAGCGUCUGAAGGCCAAGAACUUGAUGUACAUCAAACAGAUCCUGUAUCUGUUGGAGAAGUUUGUGACUGUGUUGGGUGGGAACACGAAGCAAAAUCCCAACACACAGAGCCUUUUGCAGACAGGGACAGAGCUGAAGACCAUUAAUGACUUCCUCUUUGAGAGCCAGAUCGACAACAUCAACCUGUUCAAGGUGCAGCGCUACUGUGAGAGGAGCAUGGUCAGCAGGAAGCUCUUCGGCUUCACAGAAAGGUACGGCACAGUCCUCGCACCCUCCAGGGAGCAGCCCAAACUGGCUGGGUUCCAGCACUUCCUGCAGAGCCUGCAGCCCACAGUGACCCAGACCUCUGUGACCCCUGUGGAGGAGGGCGAGGCCAGGGUGCCACGGCUGGCUUCCCCACUGAUGCACAUCGAAUCCUUCCUAGCAGCCCUCACCACUGCCAACCAGGAUGGCAGGGUCAUCCUGAGCCGCCAAGGAAGCCUUAGUCAGAGUAGCCUCAAAUUCUUGCUCCUGAAUCCAGCUGUGCACUUUGCCCAGGUGGUGAAGGAAUGCCGGGCCGUGGUCAUCGCAGGGGGCACCAUGCAACCGGUGUCUGACUUUCGGGAGCAGCUGCUGGCCUGUGCUGGGGUGGAAGCUGAGCGAGUGGUGGAGUUUUCCUGUGGUCACGUGAUCCCUCCAGACAAUAUCUUACCCCUCGUCAUCUGCAGUGGGCCCUCCAGCCAGCAGCUGGAGUUCACGUACCAGAAGAGAGAGCUGCCACAGAUGAUGGAUGAGACUGGUCGCAUUCUCUGUAACCUGUGCACUGUGGUCCCUGGAGGGGUGGUCUGUUUCUUCCCCUCCUAUGAGUACCAACGCCAGGUCUAUGCCCACUGGGAUAAGAGUGGUCUGCUGGCCCGCCUGGCUGUCAAGAAAAAGAUAUUUCAGGAACCUAAGAGAGCAAACCAGGUGGAGCAGGUGCUGAUGGAGUAUUCCAGGUGCAUUAAGUACUGUGGCCAGGCGGGAGGCACGGUGACAGGUGCUCUGCUCCUCUCUGUGGUUGGAGGAAAGAUGAGUGAAGGUAUUAACUUCUCUGACAACCUCGGCCGGUGUGUGGUCAUGGUAGGCAUGCCCUACCCCAACAUCAAGUCUCCAGAGCUGCAAGAGAAGAUGGCCUACCUGGAUCAGACCCUACCCAGAGGCCCGGGUCAGCCACCACCAGGGAAGGCUUUGGUGGAGAACCUGUGUAUGAAGGCUGUCAACCAAUCUAUAGGCAGGGCCAUCAGGCACCAGAAGGAUUUUGCCAGCAUAGUGCUUCUGGAUCAGCGGUAUGCCCGCCCACCUAUCCUGGGCAAGCUGCCAGCCUGGAUCCGAGACCGUGUGGAGGUCAAAGCCACCUUCGGUCCUGCCUUUGCUGCUAUGAGGAAGUUUCAUCGUGAGAAGUCUGUCCCUUCCUGAUGGACGGCCCACCACUGCCUGGGUGCCAGGCCCUUCCUUCCCGCUGCCCACUUGAAAGGGUGAUUAGGCUGCUGUAUCGGCGGAAAACCUUAAACACAGUGCAUCUUGAGUCAGCAAAGGUCCUGACGGCUUCUCACAAAAUCCUUGGACAAGAUGGAGCUAUGGGGGUUGGAGGAGAGCACAUUUAGGAAAAAUCAGAGCCCGAUGAGCAACAGCACCCAAAGGGCACCGCUGAAGAACGGACUGAUUUCAGCCUUGCACAAAGGUCUCUGGCAAGGCCCCAUUCAGCCCACGAAACCCUGGGUUAGUAAACUGGAGAUAUUGAACGGAGGAGGGCCAAAACGGUCUGCAUGGGGAAUCAAGACUCAAAUAAUCUUGAGAGGCCAGAAGGACGGACUGCAAUCAACAAGAUGAAGUUGACAAGCGAUGAAGUCCAGCACUUAGGUGUAAAAAGUCCAGUGCACAAACACACAAGAUGGAGGGCUAGCAAGGCCUGAGGUUUUGGUUAACCAGAGCUCAGUGAGAGCUAAGAGUGUGUUAAGCAGCUUGAGAAGGAAAUGGGAUUUGGGGGCACACAGCUCCUUGUCCCUCCUCCCUUCUUUCAGUAAACAGGGGACAUCCACUCUCUUGGGGGCACUAGAGAGAAAACAGACCCCAGACUGUUGAGCUAAUCUGUGCUGGGCACCAACCUCUCCACAGCUACAUCCCCUUUAAACUGGAUCCACAUUUUAAGAGGACUCUGAAUUCCUUCUAGACUAACUAUAAGGUCUGUCUUCAUUGCUGUGUCUCUAGCACCUGGGACUGUGCCUGACAUGUAACAAAUACUGGCUGAAUGUAAAGUGACAAGUUCAAGAACGUCCAAAGGAGGGUGAUGAGGAUGGUGAGGAGGGAGCCACUCAUGUCCUACAAAGACGACUGAAGGGUGUUCUGGCUACAGGGUAGGUGACUUAGACAACAUGGUAAUUCCCUCCAUAUGUCAAAACCAUCACAAGUGCUGGCGGGUGGAAAAGCGAUUGCUACUUAUUCUGUCGCCCCAGCAGGCUGCAGGAGGACCAGUGGGUGGAGUUACAAGGAAGUAGAUCUUGGUUCUGCACAAGGAGAACUUUCUAGUAAACUUUCUUUCUAGGAGAGCUUUGCAAAUCAGAUUCCAGCAGGAUGAGCACCUGUCAGGAAUGCUCCAAGGGAGGCUGCUGUGGUGGGCAGGGGAAAGAAGACAGGAUUUCCAGGGUUAUCCAAGAGCCUACCAGCCCAGUGAUGGCCUGCUUGUUGACAAAGCCCCC
Callorhinus ursinus (northern fur seal) is the source of this 4301-nucleotide RNA transcript. It is a transcript of the gene named DEAD/H-box helicase 11, with no coding region annotated. The record is from RefSeq and is a predicted model, not a curated record. NCBI's taxonomy places the organism in Eukaryota, Metazoa, Chordata, Mammalia, Carnivora, Otariidae.